UACAGAGGGGGCAAGCGUUGUUCGGAAUUACUGGGCGUAAAGGGCGCGUAGGCGGCCUUCUAAGUCGAACGUGAAAUCCCCGGGCUCAACCCGGGAACUGCGUCCGAUACUGGAAGGCUUGAAUCCGGGAGAGGGAUGCGGAAUUCCAGGUGUAGCGGUGAAAUGCGUAGAUAUCGGGAGGAACACCUGUGGCGAAAGCGGCUCACUGGACCACAACUGACGCUGAGGCGCGAAAGCUAGGGGAGCAAACAGG
RNAcentral lists this ribosomal RNA (253 nucleotides) under uncultured bacterium. RNAcentral describes it as "partial 16S ribosomal RNA". It matches the Rfam family "Bacterial small subunit ribosomal RNA", at positions 524 to 776 of the family's 1533-position model. The record is from RNAcentral.